Long non-coding RNA from Mus musculus (house mouse), 4049 nucleotides. RefSeq annotates it as predicted gene, 40443. The record is from RefSeq and is a predicted model, not a curated record. The transcript has 3 exons. Lineage: Eukaryota; Metazoa; Chordata; Mammalia; Rodentia; Muridae.
GAUCUGGAAAGAAAAGCAGAAUGAAUGAAUGGAUGGAUGGAUGGGUGAACGGACAGAUGAAUGAAUGAGCAUUUUCUCCAAGCAUAGCAGCUUCCUCUUUCCUUCCACAUUUCAUCAUUUUCCAGCUACAUCUUAAAGCUGUUCACACUCAUACCCUUUCCCUCUGGGUGAGUCUUCCAGGGCCUGUCCACAUAUGAACUUGAAGACAACCCAGAGCCUGGUGGUUGUGUGACUUCCAGACUGAGCAGGGAGCCAGGGACAUGUCCUUCGCUCACUGACCCUGUGCAGAAAGCGCUUCCCUGAAACAAGCACCCUUCUUACUCUCCUCAUAUGGUCAGAAUGAAGACCACAGCUUGCCUCCUGCACCGUCACUUUCUCAGGCAGCUCCUUCCAGCCCUCCCGCCUGCUCAGUGCUAGACCGGAAACUCACAGCCACGUCCUUUUGUCAGACCACCCCCCUAUUUGCUACUGUCCAAAUCCACUUCCCUAAAGCUCACACCUUCCCCUUUCUUAGUUCAGUUCCUCAUUUUGCUGGUGUAGAUGACAUCGUUAAAUAGCCUCCUAGCAGAAGUGGGGGUGGCAACCCCUUUGCCUGUCUGAAAAUACCUUGGCAGAUUUGGCCAGGGGAAAGUAAACACAGGAUGAAAGUUAUCUUCCCCGCACACAUUUGGAGACAUUCCUCUGCUGUCUAAAAGCUCCUUAUUGCUGAUAAGACAGGCAUUCUCUUCUCUUCUCAUUCCACGGCCCUGACUGCACCAGAUAGGCCGGCCACAGCUCAUUCUUCCACAGGCAGGCUGGCUUUUAAGUCCUUGGAGAGGAAUGUUGAGGACUUUCCUGCUUGACAUUUUUGAGAUCUGAACUGAAUGUGUCACUGCGGAUUACAGGAGUGUGCCACCAUACCCAACGCCUAUCAACCAACAGACAACUGAAUCAGUGGAUGCUGAAGCCAUGUACAGAGAGCAGACUGAAUUUUGGUAUCAUCCGAGCCUAAUUAGACCCAUUCUGGAUUGAACCAAGAGUAAACUGCCACCGGGGCAUAGAACUUAUGCAAUAGAGGGUCUCUCACUGAACCUGCAGCUCACUGACUUGGCAAUGCUGGCCGGCAGUUAACUCUACAGAUGCGCAUGUUUCCAGCACCGGCAUUUACAGACACGCACCACUACAUCUGGAUCUUACAUGUGGUGGAGGGAUCUGAACUCAGGUCAGCACUUAAGUGGCAGACACUUUAGUGACUGAAUCAUCUGAUCCAGGCUCCAAUCUGUUUUGCGGUUACUUCCCAAAGUCUUUGAAAAACCAAUCAAAAAUGUAGCGUGAAGAAUACAAGCAGAAUGAACUAUAAUGUACACUAUGGUUAACAAAGUUUCUAAUUUCUGUUGACAGGCUCACACCCUAUCACAUCCUGAAAUGCAACCCCAUAUUAAUAAUGGCAUUCUCUGAGCUAACUGCAAUGUGCCAUGGGACAAACUGCUUCUGCAAGGCCAGAUGCGAGUCCCCUGACUCAGUUAUGGAGACUCUGACGAAGCCUGUGGAAGCACUUUGGUUUAGGGUGCUGGUGUUUCUCUGAACCUGAGGCAACACAAUACCAGGAAGUGUUACGAAAAAUUUCCAGCCAUAUAUAGCUGGCUCCUUGUCAAUGUCUUACUACGUGGCUGAUGCAGUAGUGAAAGGCGUCAAUGGAGUGACUUACAUGGUUGGCUCCACCCACAAAGGGGUGUAUAUAUUAUAAGCUUUACAAAGUUAGGGUAUGAGGUCAUCUGUGUUUGUAAGACAGAUGCCUUGAGCUCAGGGUCCAGGCUGUGGUUGCGGGUGACUCACCUGUGAGGGAAUCAGACCCGUGCGUAAGGCUACCCGUAGCUGCACACAAGCUCCACACUUGCGGCAUUUUGCACAGAACAAGCAAACCUACCUUGAGGUCAUAGAGGAGCUGGAAGCUGCUGGGGGCCUGUGACGCUCUCUGGACAGCCUGAGCCAGGGCCAAGGCCCCCUGGCCCCCUUCUGCCCAGUGGGUGCACUUGACAGCAUCAAAAGCCCCGUGUUCUCUGGAGAGGCGGCUGACAAGGUCCAGCUCAGCAUCUGUAUCUGUCCUGCACAGGAGGGCUUCACGUUAAAGAAUGAAGGUGGCUGGAGGGGAGAGUAUGCCUUGCUUAUGCCACUAAAGCCCACGAGGAAUACCGCCUGAGAAAAGGACACCACUCAGUCCUGCCCGCUUCUAGCUCAGCUCUAUGACCUUUGGCCAGUUACUUUAUCUGUACUUAUUUGGCUCCACAAGGAAAAAAUGGAAAACUUCACAGCAGCGCUGCCCAGGGAUGCCAUGAGGCUUAGACAGGAAUAUGUUUAAAGCAUGUGGAACAAUCCCGGCACACCACUGGGAAUCAGUAAAUACUAGCUUUAAAAAUUGCUGCUUCCCAUCGCACUGCGGUGAGGGCAUUAUUGCAAAACCCUAAACAGUGCUAAAGUGCCAAGCCACCCACACAGCUCUUGCGCGAACACUUCUAGCUCAAUGCAUUCAACUCUCUCAACAGAGCGUCCCACCUGACCUGGAGAAAUAAAGAUAUUCUGCAGCCUGUGCUCUCCUGUAAGCACAAAAGGCCUGGGAACACCCGAAAAGAACAUUUCUUGUCAAGCCUAUGUGUUCUCCGAGUUGCUCAGUAGAGAAGAGGGCCCUCAGGAGCAAUUCUGACUUUUGGACCUCAGUGGUGAGGUAGCUAACGUGUGUCUGCUGUGAUACACAUGGUGCCUGUCACAUCACAAGCUAGACCACAAGCAAUAACCAACAGCAGUAAGUGGAGAACUACUCGGAGCUAAAGGCGGCACUGCGCUUGCUACAGGAGCUAUUUCCUGGCAUUUCCGACAUUCCUCCUCUCUAUAUUUCACACUUACUUGAACACGUUCACAGCCACGACGACAGGGACUCCAAACAUUCUAGCAUUUUCGAUUUGUUUCCUCAAGUUACUGAAGCCCUUUUCAACCAGGUCCAGGUCCUGUCAAACAACAGCAAAUGGCCUGUAAGGUCAAAACACGCUGACCUGAAAACAGCUGCUGCCUCUAUUUAAGACAGAGACACUGCCACUGUCCCUGGGGCACGCCUGUAAUCCCAGCAUUCAGCAGGCAGAGGCUGGAGGAUAGACAAGUUGAGAUUAGCCUGGGUACACAGUAAAUUCUUGUCUCAAAUAAGAUAACAAGAAAAAAAAGGAAGGUGUGUCUUGGAGCUGGAAGAAGGGCAAGAUGGUGGUGGCCACUAUGAGGGCCAGUGAUGCACUUCCCACAUGCUACUGGUGGAAGAGAAGCGACCCCUGUCUACAGCACUCGAUUGAAGCUGUGCUACCUCCCUACGCCUUGAAAACACGCAAUGGCCUCUUAGUUCUUUGAAGGGGAUGAGUCUGAUGCCUCUACUUAAAGACAUUCACAGCUUGUGUAUUUACACAGAUUAACUCCCAAGGUGUGCUACAAACCAACAAGACUUUUCUCAGUGGGAGCCAUUUGAUCAGGGCAGAGCCCAGCACAGGCCCCACCAGCCAUAAAGACUGUCAAGCAAUAAGUCAGUGAAGUUUCAGAGGAUUUAAGGAACUUAACCAGGAGCCUUCCCAAGGCUAAUAAAAUAAGGAAAUGCUAUUUGGACAACCCGGGGCCUGGGCAGGACUGAUAACUCAGUGCUUAAGUAUAUACUUCCUGCUCUUCCACAGGAAAUGAGUUUGGAUCCAGUACCCAAGUCAGGCAACUCACAUCAGCCUGUAACCCCAGCGCUAUGGCUCAUCCUCUUCUGGUCUCUUCAGACACUCCCAACCUCCACCCUAUGCACGCGCCUGCACACGGAGACACGUGAAUAAAAAUAAGCUUAAAAGAAAAGCCAGGGCUGGAGAGAUGGCUCAGCAGUUGAGGCACUGACUGUUCUUACAAGGGGCUCUAAGACAACCACCUAAAAUUCCAGUUCCUGGAGAUCCGAUGUCCUCUUCUGCCUCUGAGGGAGCCAGACAUGGGUAUGAUAUGCAUGCAUACAUGAAGUACUUCCCAUGUACACAUACAAAACAUAGAGGUUUUAAAAAAAAAAA